UGGAAAGCAGUGAUAAGCAUCCCAUAGCCA
This 30-nucleotide non-coding RNA is filed under the name Mus musculus (house mouse). Lineage: Eukaryota; Metazoa; Chordata; Mammalia; Rodentia; Muridae. The record is from RNAcentral.